Molecule: ribosomal RNA, 249 nt
Filed under: uncultured bacterium
Lineage: Bacteria
Description: partial 16S ribosomal RNA
Rfam family: Bacterial small subunit ribosomal RNA
Source: RNAcentral
CGUGAGAUGUUGGGUUAAGUCCCGCAACGAGCGCAACCCCUAUUGUUAGUUGCUACGCAAGAGCACUCUAGCGAGACUGCCGUUGACAAAACGGAGGAAGGUGGGGACGACGUCAAAUCAUCAUGCCCCUUAUGUCCUGGGCUACACACGUAAUACAAUGGCGGUCAACAGAGGGAUGCAAAACCGUAAGGCGGAGCGAACCCCUAAAAGCCGUCCCAGUUCAGAUCGUGGGCUGCAACCCGCCCACGU